CUGUGAGCUACUGCUCACUGAUGAUACCCCCGCCGCAAGUGGAUAAUAUUAAUAGUGUAAAAAUAUGCAAGUGUUCGGUAAACAGGAAGUUGUCGAGUGAUGAAUCUGAAAACGCAUCACACGGUAUAGCUGACUUAUAAAAAUCCUGAAACCAAAUUUCAGAAAUCCUUGUAUUGUAGUUCCUCAGAAAAAUGUGACGAAAAUUUUUAACUUGGUUAUCAUGUGUAAAAUCAUACAAGUGUUCGGUAAACAGGAAGUUGUCGAGUGAUGAAUCUGAAAACGCAUCACACGGUAUAGCUGACUUAUAUAAAUCCUGAAACCAAAUUUCAGAAAUCCUUGUAUUGUAGUUCCUGAGAAAAAUGUGACUAAAAUUUUCAACUUGGUUAUCAUGUGUAAAAUCAUACAAGUGUUCGGUAAACAGGAAGUUGUCGAGUGAUGAAUCUGAAAACGCAUCACACGGUAUAGCUGACUUAUAUAAAUUC
RNAcentral lists this long non-coding RNA (482 nucleotides) under Mytilus galloprovincialis (Mediterranean mussel). The record is from RNAcentral. Lineage: Eukaryota; Metazoa; Mollusca; Bivalvia; Mytilida; Mytilidae.